RNAcentral lists this ribosomal RNA (408 nucleotides) under uncultured Chitinophagaceae bacterium. RNAcentral's name for it is "bacterial SSU rRNA". It matches the Rfam family "Bacterial small subunit ribosomal RNA", at positions 506 to 916 of the family's 1533-position model. Lineage: Bacteria; Pseudomonadati; Bacteroidota; Chitinophagia; Chitinophagales; Chitinophagaceae. The record is from RNAcentral.
UGCCAGCAGCCGCGGUAAUACGGAGGGUGCAAGCGUUAUCCGGAUUCACUGGGUUUAAAGGGUGCGUAGGCGGGCGAUUAAGUCUGUGGUGAAAUCUCUGAGCUUAACUCGGAAACUGCCAUGGAUACUAUUUGUCUUGAAUGUUGUGGAGGUGAGCGGAAUAUGUCAUGUAGCGGUGAAAUGCUUAGAUAUGACAUAGAACACCAAUUGCGAAGGCAGCUCACUACACAAAUAUUGACGCUGAGGCACGAAAGCGUGGGGAUCAAACAGGAUUAGAUACCCUGGUAGUCCACGCCCUAAACGAUGGAUACUCGACAUACGCGAUACACAGUGUGUGUCUGAGCGAAAGCAUUAAGUAUCCCACCUGGGAAGUACGACCGCAAGGUUGAAACUCAAAUGAAUUGGCGG